Molecule: ribosomal RNA, 105 nt
Filed under: Acanthosepion pharaonis
Lineage: Eukaryota; Metazoa; Mollusca; Cephalopoda; Sepiida; Sepiidae
Source: RNAcentral
CGGUCAAAUCACGCUGAAACACCGGUUCUCGUUCGAUCACCGAAGUUAAGCAUCCAGGUCAGUACUUAGAUGGGGGACCGCUUGGGAACACCUGGUACUGUAAGC